RNAcentral lists this ribosomal RNA (252 nucleotides) under uncultured bacterium. RNAcentral's name for it is "partial 16S ribosomal RNA". It matches the Rfam family "Bacterial small subunit ribosomal RNA", at positions 524 to 776 of the family's 1533-position model. The record is from RNAcentral.
UACGGAGGGUCCAAGCGUUAUCCGGAAUCAUUGGGUUUAAAGGGUCCGUAGGCGGUUUUGUAAGUCAGUGGUGAAAGCCCAUCGCUCAACGGUGGAACGGCCAUGAUACUGCAAGACUUGAAUUAUUAGGAAGUAACUAGAAUAUGUAGUGUAGCGGUGAAAUGCUUAGAGAUUACAUGGAAUACCAAUUGCGAAGGCAGGUUACUACUAAUGGAUUGACGCUGAUGGACGAAAGCGUGGGUAGCGAACAGG